Molecule: ribosomal RNA, 253 nt
Filed under: uncultured bacterium
Lineage: Bacteria
Description: partial 16S ribosomal RNA
Rfam family: Bacterial small subunit ribosomal RNA
Source: RNAcentral
UACGUAGGGGGCAAGCGUUGUCCGGAAUUAUUGGGCGUAAAGAGCGUGUAGGCGGUCCGGUAAGUCGGCUGUGAAAGUCCAGGGCUCAACCCUGGGAUGCCGGUCGAUACUGCCGGACUAGAGUUCGGAAGAGGCGAGUGGAAUUCCCGGUGUAGCGGUGAAAUGCGCAGAUAUCGGGAGGAACACCUACGGCGAAGGCAGCUCGCUGGGACGUUACUGACGCUGAGACGCGAAAGCGUGGGGAGCAAACAGG